Molecule: non-coding RNA, 807 nt
Organism: Drosophila melanogaster (fruit fly)
Lineage: Eukaryota; Metazoa; Arthropoda; Insecta; Diptera; Drosophilidae
Source: Ensembl
GUGGGAGUGUUUCAUUGGGAGUGCUCCUGAAUUCCCGGAAAAUGCCUCUAGAGUUCCGUAGAUAGUUUCGUAAUACACUCAUUACUUACCACAACGAGUGCGUAUUGUGGUAGCCACCACCUCGUAACCUUUAACCCGCCGUGCGAGGGCGGCUCGUCAAUUACCAGCAGUGAAAAUCAAUACAGAAUAUUGUGUAGUCCCACCGCCCACCAAUCCACCUACAACAACUCACCAAAUUUCGCGGCUUGCCGUUGGCCAUGCUGCUGUUGCCCACCUUUGGAGCCAGUGCCUCCUUAUCCAAUGACAAGCACUGGGCGGCGUUGCAUAGUGCCUCCGUGGAAGCCUCCACUUCCGGUUCCUGCUCCGUUUUGUGGCCUAAAUUGCACCAGCUGCGAUUACGCCUCAAGUGAACCGGGUGCGAACGCGUUUCGAGACUGGAUGGGAUCGCUGUGAGCUUGGCGCGCGAACUGAAUCCGCCUCCGCCGGCUGGACAGUGCUCAGCCCGUAAACCGAGCUCUGCGGGAUUCCCGCGCAGGCGCAGAGAAGCGGAACGCCGGAAACGCGCCACGGCGGGAUGUGGAAUGCGUGUGGGCGUUGUGGAUGCCGUGUGCGAGUCCUCGGCGGAAUCGUUGUCCUUCUCCCGCUGCACUUGCUCCUCCACCGCCGGCAGUGACGUCUCCAGCUGCAGCGACGUCAUCAUUUCUGCAGAGAGAGAAAUAAUUGCAAGAUUACAGACGUGUUUUUAAUCAAAUUAAAUGUUUGAACAUGAAAUGUUUGUUCAAGCUAGUAUUAGCAACUAAAAAAUUU